RNAcentral lists this ribosomal RNA (429 nucleotides) under Chloroflexota bacterium. RNAcentral describes it as "Chloroflexi bacterium partial 16S ribosomal RNA". It matches the Rfam family "Bacterial small subunit ribosomal RNA", at positions 355 to 776 of the family's 1533-position model. The record is from RNAcentral. Lineage: Bacteria; Bacillati; Chloroflexota.
UGGGGAAUAUUGCACAAUGGGCGCAAGCCUGAUGCAGCCAUGCCGCGUGUAUGAAGAAGGCCUUCGGGUUGUAAAGUACUUUCAGUCGGGAGGAAGGUGUCAAGGUUAAUAACCUUGGCAAUUGACGUUACCGACAGAAGAAGCACCGGCUAACUCCGUGCCAGCAGCCGCGGUAAUACGGAGGGUGCAAGCGUUAAUCGGAAUUACUGGGCGUAAAGCGCACGCAGGCGGUUGAUUGAGUCAGAUGUGAAAUCCCCGGGCUUAACCCGGGAAUUGCAUCUGAUACUGGUCAGCUAGAGUCUUGUAGAGGGAGGUAGAAUUCCAUGUGUAGCGGUGAAAUGCGUAGAGAUGUGGAGGAAUACCGGUGGCGAAGGCGGCCCCCUGGACAAAGACUGACGCUCAGGUGCGAAAGCGUGGGGAGCAAACAGG